CGGGACGGGUGAGUAACGCGUGGAUAACCUGCCUCACACUGGGGGAUAACAGUUAGAAAUGGCUGCUAAUACCGCAUAAGCGCACAGUACCGCAUGGUACGGUGUGAAAAACCCAGGUGGUGUGAGAUGGAUCCGCGUCUGAUUAGCCAGUUGGCGGGGUAACGCCCACCAAAGCGACGAUCAGUAGCCGACCUGAGAGGGUGACCGGCCACAUUGGGACUGAGACACGGCCCAA
This 235-nucleotide ribosomal RNA is filed under the name uncultured bacterium. RNAcentral describes it as "partial 16S ribosomal RNA". It matches the Rfam family "Bacterial small subunit ribosomal RNA", at positions 100 to 334 of the family's 1533-position model. The record is from RNAcentral.